RNAcentral lists this transfer RNA (83 nucleotides) under Nitrososphaeria archaeon. Its description in RNAcentral is "tRNA-Leu". It matches the Rfam family "tRNA". Rfam says of the family: Transfer RNA (tRNA) molecules are approximately 80 nucleotides in length. The record is from RNAcentral. Lineage: Archaea; Thermoproteati; Nitrososphaerota; Nitrososphaeria.
GCGGGGGUAGCCAAGCCAGGACAAAGGCGCCGGGCUUAAGACCCGGGCGGAAGGGUUCGUGGGUUCGAAUCCCACCCCCCGCA